GCAUUAGUAGCUCAGAUUCAGAGCGUCGGUCUUGUAAGCCGAAUGCCGGGGGUUAAAAUCCCCCCUCAUGCU
This 72-nucleotide transfer RNA is filed under the name Tylerius spinosissimus (spiny blaasop). RNAcentral describes it as "tRNA-Thr". It matches the Rfam family "tRNA". From Rfam's summary of the family: Transfer RNA (tRNA) molecules are approximately 80 nucleotides in length. Their secondary structure includes four short double-helical elements and three loops (D, anti-codon, and T loops). Further hydrogen bonds mediate the characteristic L-shaped molecular structure. tRNAs have two regions of fundamental functional importance: the anti-codon, which is responsible for specific mRNA codon recognition, and the 3' end, to which the tRNAs corresponding amino acid is attached (by aminoacyl-tRNA synthetases). tRNAs cope with the degeneracy of the genetic code in two manners: having more than one tRNA (with a specific anti-codon) for a particular amino acid; and 'wobble' base-pairing, i.e. permitting non-standard base-pairing at the 3rd anti-codon position. Lineage: Eukaryota; Metazoa; Chordata; Actinopteri; Tetraodontiformes; Tetraodontidae. The record is from RNAcentral.